GACAGAGGGUGCGACCGUUGUUCGGAAUUACUGGGCGUAAAGCGCGUGUAGGCUGCUCGGAAAGUCGGAUGUGAAAGCCCUGGGCUCAACCCAGGAAGUGCAUUCAAAACUUCCAAGCUCGAGUCCUGGAGAGGAAAGCGGAAUUCUCGGUGUAGAGGUGAAAUUCGUAGAUAUCGUGAGGAAGACCAGUGGCGAAGGCGGGUCUCUGGACAGUUCCUGACGCUGAGGCGCGAAGGCCAGGGGAGCAAACGGG
RNAcentral lists this ribosomal RNA (253 nucleotides) under uncultured bacterium. RNAcentral's name for it is "partial 16S ribosomal RNA". It matches the Rfam family "Bacterial small subunit ribosomal RNA", at positions 524 to 776 of the family's 1533-position model. The record is from RNAcentral.